This 493-nucleotide ribosomal RNA is filed under the name uncultured bacterium. RNAcentral's name for it is "bacterial SSU rRNA". It matches the Rfam family "Bacterial small subunit ribosomal RNA", at positions 355 to 864 of the family's 1533-position model. The record is from RNAcentral.
UGGGGAAUCUUGGACAAUGGGGGCAACCCUGAUCCAGCCAUGCCGCGUGAGUGAUGAAGGCCUUAGGGUCGUAAAGCUCUUUCGCCUGUGAAGAUAAUGACGGUAGCAGGUAAAGAAACCCCGGCUAACUCCGUGCCAGCAGCCGCGGUAAUACGGAGGGGGUUAGCGUUGUUCGGAAUUACUGGGCGUAAAGCGCACGUAGGCGGACCAGAAAGUUGGGGGUGAAAUCCCGGGGGCUCAACCCCGGAACUGCCUCCAAAACUAUUGGUCUAGAGUUCGAGAGAGGUGAGUGGAAUUCCAAGUGUAGAGGUGAAAUUCGUAGAUAUUUGGAGGAACACCAGUGGCGAAGGCGGCUCACUGGCUCGAUACUGACGCUGAGGUGCGAAAGUGUGGGGAGCAAACAGGAUUAGAUACCCUGGUAGUCCACACCGUAAAACGAUGAAUGCCAGUCGUCGGGUAGCAUGCUAUUCGGUGACACACCUAACGGAUUAAG